Non-coding RNA from Ictidomys tridecemlineatus (thirteen-lined ground squirrel), 69 nucleotides. Lineage: Eukaryota; Metazoa; Chordata; Mammalia; Rodentia; Sciuridae. The record is from Rfam.
GGAGUUGUGGCUCAGUGGUAGAGCACUUCCCUCACAUGUGUGAGGCACUGGGUUCGAUUCUCAGCACCA